Molecule: unclassified non-coding RNA, 166 nt
Filed under: rhizosphere metagenome
Description: partial ribosomal RNA internal transcribed spacer region
Source: RNAcentral
GAAAUGCAAGGACGCUCUUUUUAGAGGUCCGACCCAAUCAUUUUCCUUACACUGUGCACACUACUACUUUUUACACCAAUUUUUAACUCAUUAGUAUAAGAAUGUAACAAGUCUCUUAAUUGAGCAUAAACAAAACAAAACUUUCAGCAACGGAUCUCUUGGCUCC